RNAcentral lists this ribosomal RNA (323 nucleotides) under uncultured eukaryote. RNAcentral describes it as "partial 18S ribosomal RNA". It matches the Rfam family "Eukaryotic small subunit ribosomal RNA", at positions 1470 to 1796 of the family's 1831-position model. The record is from RNAcentral.
CCCUUAGAUGUUCUGGGCUGCACGCGCGCGACAAUGACGUUUGCAACGAGAUACGAGACCGAAAGGUUAAGUUGAUCUAGCAAGCUGCGUCGUGAUAGGGACUGUCGAUUGCAAUUAUUCGACACGAACGAGGAAUUCCUUGUAAUCGCACAUCAUCAGUGUGCGCUGAAUACGUCCCUGCCCUUUGUACACACCGCCCGUCGCUCCUACCGAUCGAGUGAUCCGGUGAAUGUUUUGGAUCGGUUGCAAGUUGCGCGACGCGUUUCUUGCAUGCUGUGAAAUCAUGUAAGCCUUAUUGCUUAGAGGAAGGAGAAGUCGUAACA